AAAAGGCAUUUAUGAUAUAAUAUAUAGAAUUAUGUAUAGAGCUACUAUACUAUCGGAAAUAUAAAGCAUUUGAUGCUUCCGAUUUUUCGACUCUUGCACUACAACAGAAUUAGGUUAUAGGGACACAUGUUUGGGACACUUUUGAGUAAGUGUCCCAUUUAUACUAAAACUUAAAAAAAUAUCUACUAAUGCCUAAAUAUAAAGCCCAAUCCAACCAAAAAUAAAAGAUUACUCUACUCAACCCACCACACCCAGUCCAUUUGGCCCGAUUACAAACAGAAAAGAAAAAAAAAAAGAAAAAUUAAUUACCAUAUUUUCUUCUCUCUUCACUCAAUCCACUGAAAUUCAAGACGAAGAGCCAUUCCUGUCGUCCUCCUCCGCCACCGCAGCCAACGAGAUAGAGUUUCGGCGGUUGCUAAAUGCUUAAAUAAGUUGUUGGUAAAUUAGCAACAUUCUUUUAGGUUAUAGCGACACUCUUUAACUGUCACUAUAUACCUAGCGACCCCACAUAUAGCAACACUUUUUAAAAGUGUCGGUAAUUUUAACUAGUAGCACUUUUUUGACAUGUACCUAUAUUUAAAAGUGUCGCUAUAGACCGUUUUUGUUGUAGUGUUGGAUCAAAAAUUGUACGAUUGGAAUGAUUGUAUGGUCCCUACAGGGUAAUAGUAUUAAUCCAAAGAUUAGAAAUGAUUAAAAAGACUGAUAUAAGGGCCAAAGAGUCAGAAGCAUUAAAUCCUCUAUAUUUCCGAUAGUAUAAUAACUCUACUUUAGAAUUAUAUAGGUAAUAUUGAUAUUGAUAAUUUAAAUGAUAUUUUUAUAAUUUGGAGGGGUAUAUUUGAAAUUAU
This 845-nucleotide long non-coding RNA is filed under the name Ananas comosus (pineapple). RNAcentral describes it as "long non-coding RNA (ACOM_LNC013915)". The record is from RNAcentral. Lineage: Eukaryota; Viridiplantae; Streptophyta; Magnoliopsida; Poales; Bromeliaceae.